CAGAGGGUGCAAGCGUUAAUCGGAUUUACUGGGCGUAAAGGGUGCGUAGGUGUCUAUUUAAGUCGGAUGUGAAAGCCCGGGGCUCAACCUCGGAAUUGCAUUCGAUACUGGGUGGCUAGAGUUCGGUAGAGGGCGGCGGAAUUUCCGGUGUAGCGGUGAAAUGCGUAGAUAUCGGAAGGAACAUCAAUGGCGAAGGCAGCCGCCUGGGCCUGAACUGACACUGAGGCACGAAAGCGUGGGUAGCAAACAGGAUU
Molecule: ribosomal RNA, 254 nt
Filed under: uncultured bacterium
Lineage: Bacteria
Description: partial 16S ribosomal RNA
Rfam family: Bacterial small subunit ribosomal RNA
Source: RNAcentral